This 309-nucleotide ribosomal RNA is filed under the name Triticum aestivum (bread wheat). RNAcentral's name for it is "partial small subunit ribosomal RNA". The record is from RNAcentral. Lineage: Eukaryota; Viridiplantae; Streptophyta; Magnoliopsida; Poales; Poaceae.
AUGCCAUUGUAUUAUUUCGAGUCAGAUUUCAUCGUCUGUUGCUUUACUGAAAAAGGUUUCCCCCGCUUUGUAUUCCUAAGCAACCAACACCGAUACACAGACAAUGCUGGGGCGAGCAGCACAACAAGCCCAAAAGAAAAAAGGAAGAGAAAACAAAUGCCAACAAUGGCAGCUCGACAAAGCGAGGAUGACCCGGCACCGCAACGCCCUCCGGAAUCGACCCACCACGAUACAAGGCUCCGAUCAGCCGCGUACCAAACAACACCUCCGAUAAGGAAUGCGACACCGACGAAGCUGCUGCCCGGAUGA